RNAcentral lists this ribosomal RNA (239 nucleotides) under uncultured Lactobacillus sp. RNAcentral's name for it is "partial 16S ribosomal RNA". It matches the Rfam family "Bacterial small subunit ribosomal RNA", at positions 125 to 354 of the family's 1533-position model. Lineage: Bacteria; Bacillati; Bacillota; Bacilli; Lactobacillales; Lactobacillaceae. The record is from RNAcentral.
CCGUAGCCCAAGAGAUCGGGAUAACACCUGGAAACAGAUGCUAAUACCGGAUAACAACAGAUGAUGCCUAUCGACUGUUUAAAAGAUGGUUCUGCUAUCACUCUUGGAUGGACCUGCGGUGCAUUAGCUAGUUGGUAGGGUAACGGCCUACCAAGGCGAUGAUGCAUAGCCGAGUUGAGAGACUGAUCGGCCACAUUGGGACUGAGACACGGCCCAAACUCCUACGGGAGGCAGCAGAA